Long non-coding RNA from Homo sapiens (human), 1886 nucleotides. Ensembl annotates it as growth arrest specific 5. Its record names the gene GAS5. NCBI's taxonomy places the organism in Eukaryota, Metazoa, Chordata, Mammalia, Primates, Hominidae. The record is from Ensembl.
CUUUUCGAGGUAGGAGUCGACUCCUGUGAGGUAUGGUGCUGGGUGCAGAUGCAGUGUGGCUCUGGAUAGCACCUUAUGGACAGUUGUGUCCCCAAGGAAGGAUGAGAAUAGCUACUGAAGUAAGUUGAAAAUUCCCUCUCAAAAAGGUUUAAAGCCAUUGGAUGUGCCACAAUGAUGACAGUUUAUUUGCUACUCUUGAGUGCUAGAAUGAUGAGGAUCUUAACCACCAUUAUCUUAACUGAGGCACCCAAAAUGGUGAGUUGGGGAACAUAGAGAGUACACCUAAGUUCACAUGAAGUUGUUUCUUCCCAGGUCCUAAAGAGCAAGCCUAACUCAAGCCAUUGGCACACAGGCAUUAGACAGAAAGCUGGAAGUUGAAAUGGUGGAGUCCAACUUGCCUGGACCAGCUUAAUGGUUCUGCUCCUGGUAACGUUUUUAUCCAUGGAUGACUUGCUUGGGUAAGGACAUGAAGACAGUUCCUGUCAUACCUUUUAAAGGUACAUGUUUUAUUGAUGUUAACGUUAAUUGAUUGAGCUACUGUUAGUGAUGAUUUUAAAAUUAAAGCAGAUGGGAAUCUCUCUGAGAAAGAAAAUGGAGAUUAAUCUUAAACUGAAACAGUAGUUGGGAAAUCUUUUAGAAAUCCACCUAUUACUACCUAUUGGUAAAGGAGAUUAAAUUUCUACAGGUAUGGAGAGUCGGCUUGACUACACUGUGUGGAGCAAGUUUUAAAGAAGCAAAGGUAUAGCAGUUCCAAGUAUUUUUUUUUUUUUUUUAGACAAGAGUCUAGCUCUUGCCCAGAAUGGAGUGCAGCGGCACUAUCAGUUCACUGCAACCUCUGCCUCCCAGGUUCAAGGAAUUCUCCUGCCUCAGCCUCUUGAGUAGCUGGGAUUACAGGCAUGUGACACCAUGCCUGGCUAAUUUUGUACAGCUAUGUUGUCCAGGCUGGUCUCGAACUCUUGACCUCAAGUGAUACUGCCCGCACUGACCUCCCAAAGUGCUGGGAUUACAGGCGUGAGCCACCAUGCCCCGCCUCAAGUCUGGUUUUUAAGUGUUGUAAAGCCGAUACAAUGAUGAUAACAUAGUUCAGCAGACUAACGCUGAUGAGCAAUAUUAAGUCUUUCGCUCCUAUCUGAUGUAUCUGGCGGUAACAUUCUAGUUUAUGCCCCGAAAAGGGGAAUAUAGCCAUUCUAUAAUGUUUGGAGAUUUUGGAUUACUCCUAAUUGUAUGCAAGUUGUCUUACUGUGUAUUGUCCCUUAAUUUCAGGACUCAGAAUUCAUGAUUGAAGAAAUGCAGGUUAGUUUAAACUUUGAAGGAAAUUUUUAAGGUGGCAAAAGGUUUUGGUGGCAUAUACACCUUAAUCUGUAGAUGGGAGUGAUUAGCUGUUUAAAAGUUAAAAUGUGACUGAGAAGGAAAUUGAGUAGGGCAAAUUUUAAAUGGGUAUUAUUUUUCAUCUUCAAACAGGCAGACCUGUUAUCCUAAACUAGGUGAGUCAGCUUUUGGUACAUGUGAUGAUUUUCAGUGUAACCAAUGAUGUAAUGAUUCUGCCAAAUGAAAUAUAAUGAUAUCACUGUAAAACCGUUCCAUUUUGAUUCUGAGGUUACUCUACUAACAAGCAUCACACAUUUGUAUUUUGCCCUGAUUAAUAUGUUGGCUUCGCUUUCAGGGUUUUUAAUGACCACAACAAGCAAGCAUGCAGCUUACUGCUUGAAAGGGUCUUGCCUCACCCAAGCUAGAGUGCAGUGGCCUUUGAAGCUUACUACAGCCUCAAACUUCUGGGCUCAAGUGAUCCUCAGCCUCCCAGUGGUCUUUGUAGACUGCCUGAUGGAGUCUCAUGGCACAAGAAGAUUAAAACAGUGUCUCCAAUUUUAAUAAAUUUUUGCAAUCCA